Molecule: ribosomal RNA, 743 nt
Filed under: uncultured bacterium
Lineage: Bacteria
Description: bacterial SSU rRNA
Rfam family: Bacterial small subunit ribosomal RNA
Source: RNAcentral
AGCGGCGGAUGGGUGAGUAACACGUGGGGAACCUGCCCCUAAGUCUGGGAUACCAUUUGGAAACAGGUGCUAAUACCGGAUAAUAAAGCAGAUCGCAUGAUCAGCUUUUGAAAGGCGGCGUAAGCUGUCGCUAAGGGAUGGCCCCGCGGUGCAUUAGCUAGUUGGUAAGGUAACGGCUUACCAAGGCGACGAUGCAUAGCCGAGUUGAGAGACUGAUCGGCCACAUUGGGACUGAGACACGGCCCAAACUCCUACGGGAGGCAGCAGUAGGGAAUCUUCCACAAUGGACGCAAGUCUGAUGGAGCAACGCCGCGUGAGUGAAGAAGGUUUUCGGAUCGUAAAGCUCUGUUGUUGGUGAAGAAGGAUAGAGGUAGUAACUGGCCUUUAUUUGACGGUAAUCAACCAGAAAGUCACGGCUAACUACGUGCCAGCAGCCGCGGUAAUACGUAGGUGGCAGGCGUUGUCCGGAUUUAUUGGGCGUAAAGCGAGCGCAGGCGGAAAAAUAAGUCUAAUGUGAAAGCCCUCGGCUUAACCGAGGAACUGCAUCGGAAACUGUUUUUCUUGAGUGCAGAAGAGGAGAGUGGAACUCCAUGUGUAGCGGUGGAAUGCGUAGAUAUACGGAAGAACACCAGUGGCGAAGGCGGCUCUCUGGUCUGCAACUGACGCUGAGGCUCGAAAGCAUGGGUAGCGAACAGGAUUAGAUACCCUGGUAGUCCAUGCCGUAAACGAUGAGUGCUAAGUGU